Molecule: long non-coding RNA, 954 nt
Organism: Girardinichthys multiradiatus
Lineage: Eukaryota; Metazoa; Chordata; Actinopteri; Cyprinodontiformes; Goodeidae
Exons: 4
Source: RefSeq, a predicted model, not a curated record
AAACAGGAGAGUUGAGUUAAUCCUGUUGGAUGUGGUUCGUCCUUCUUGGUGGUAUGCUGACAUUACCCUGGAUACCGUGACUUGCUGUCUUGGUCACAGAUGCGCCAGCAAGACGUGCACCAACAAUUUGUCCUGUUUGAACUCUGGAAAACUAAUCGAAUAUUUUGUUCUGGGGAUGAUUUCAAAAUUAUUAUGGAAAUUAACGGUUUGGACAUAUCUAACAUUGACUAGUGGUUAGAAGGACUAAAUUAUCAAUUGACUGGGCUACAAUAAAUAUGAUUCUGGUUAAAGGUGAGAGGAUGAGUCUAUUAGAUUAUCCAUAUAUAACAGUUGAUACUUUCACCAGGUGAGUUGAGAGAGCUAAACUCAUAACCAAAGAACAAUUGUUUGUGCUGAUACCAACAUAACAUGGCUGGAUGCGCUGCCCUUGGUGAUGUUUUCUAUGAGAUCAUCACCAACUGAGCACAUGGGUUUAGCACCACAUGAGCUGCUGACAGGAAGAACCAUGCCUUCUCCUUUCAUCUUCUCUUUCCAAGUGUGGCUGUGCACCCAAGCUGGAUUCACAGAGAGGAAUUAAUAUGAAACGUUCAACAAUUAAUAAGUAAUCUAGGGUGAAGUUUUUGUCUCAUAACAUACAGGAGGCUCCAAACCAGAGAACCAACGGGAGAGACUCCAGAGCAGAUUGGACCUGGGCAGUAGAUAUACAGACAGGUGUACCUUUUAAAGUGAAACAGGGCUCCCUUCCGGACAGGAAGGAGGAGAGGAUAAUGCAUAGGGUCAGCCAGAUAGGAUGGAGGUCAUCUGCAUGAUUGGCAUUCUUGUUGGCUCCACACUUGCUCUUCCACCGGUGAUCAUCGGGAUAGGGGAGACAAGCGCGCUGAUGUCUCUUUGCUGGCAAACAGACAUAAACUCUUCAAACUGGAUCCAAGAGUGUCAUUCAAUCAUCGAUCAUAU